RNAcentral lists this ribosomal RNA (427 nucleotides) under uncultured Actinomycetes bacterium. RNAcentral's name for it is "bacterial SSU rRNA". It matches the Rfam family "Bacterial small subunit ribosomal RNA", at positions 958 to 1385 of the family's 1533-position model. The record is from RNAcentral. Lineage: Bacteria; Bacillati; Actinomycetota; Actinomycetes.
AACGCGAAGAACCUUACCAAGGCUUGACAUAUGCCGGAAAGCCGUAGAGAUACGGUCCCCCUUGUGGUCGGUAUACAGGUGGUGCAUGGUUGUCGUCAGCUCGUGUCGUGAGAUGUUGGGUUAAGUCCCGCAACGAGCGCAACCCUCGUUCUGUGUUGCCAGCGGGUUAUGCCGGGGACUCACAGGAGACUGCCGGGGUCAACUCGGAGGAAGGUGGGGACGACGUCAAAUCAUCAUGCCCCUUAUGUCUUGGGCUGCACACGUGCUACAAUGGCCGGUACAAUGAGCUGCGAUACCGCGAGGUGGAGCGAAUCUCAAAAAGCCGGUCUCAGUUCGGAUUGGGGUCUGCAACUCGACCCCAUGAAGUCGGAGUUGCUAGUAAUCGCAGAUCAGCAUUGCUGCGGUGAAUACGUUCCCGGGCCUUGUA